AGAGUUUGAUCAUGGCUCAGAUUGAACGCUGGCAGCAGGCUUAACACAUGCAAGUCGAGCGGGGUGAGGUACUUCGGUACUGAUCCUAGCGGCGGACGGGUGAGUAAUGCUUAGGAAUCUGCCAUUUAGUGGGGGACAACAUUCCGAAAGGAAUGCUAAUACCGCAUACGUCCUACGGGAGAAAGCAGGGGAUCUUCGGACCUUGCGCUAAAUGAUGAGCCUAAGUCGGAUUAGCUAGUUGGUGGGGUAAAGGCCUACCAAGGCGACGAUCUGUAGCGGGUCUGAGAGGAUGAUCAGCCACACUGGGACUGAGACACGGCCCAGACUCCUACGGGAGGCAGCAGUGGGGAAUAUUGGACAAUGGGCGAAAGCCUGAUCCAGCAAUGCCGCGUGAGUGAUGAAGGCCUUAGGGUUGUAAAGCUCUUUUACCCGGGAUGAUAAUGACAGUACCGGGAGAAUAAGCUCCGGCUAACUCCGUG
This 479-nucleotide ribosomal RNA is filed under the name uncultured bacterium. RNAcentral's name for it is "partial 16S ribosomal RNA". It matches the Rfam family "Bacterial small subunit ribosomal RNA", at positions 8 to 507 of the family's 1533-position model. The record is from RNAcentral.